Molecule: transfer RNA, 75 nt
Filed under: Candidatus Aenigmatarchaeota archaeon
Lineage: Archaea; Nanobdellati; Candidatus Aenigmatarchaeota
Description: tRNA-Arg
Rfam family: tRNA
About the family: Transfer RNA (tRNA) molecules are approximately 80 nucleotides in length. Their secondary structure includes four short double-helical elements and three loops (D, anti-codon, and T loops). Further hydrogen bonds mediate the characteristic L-shaped molecular structure. tRNAs have two regions of fundamental functional importance: the anti-codon, which is responsible for specific mRNA codon recognition, and the 3' end, to which the tRNAs corresponding amino acid is attached (by aminoacyl-tRNA synthetases). tRNAs cope with the degeneracy of the genetic code in two manners: having more than one tRNA (with a specific anti-codon) for a particular amino acid; and 'wobble' base-pairing, i.e. permitting non-standard base-pairing at the 3rd anti-codon position.
Source: RNAcentral
GCUCCCGUAGCUCAGGUUGGAAAGAGCACUUGCCUCCUAAGCAAGGGGUCGCGUGUUCAAAUCACGCCGGGAGCG